GUCAGCCUGAAAUGUCCGGAUAACCUAUAAUUUUGAACCUGCUAACGUGACAUAGGGAGUCCGGUGUUUGGAAGCAGAUGCCAGGCCACAACCUAAUUCCGACACACGUUGUGUGCGGCGGUGGUAGGCAGAAGCUUUCAACAGGACACCCACCUGGCCUUGGGCUAGGUGUCAAAAUAUAGGGAAACGGCUUUUCGGGUUCAGU
RNAcentral lists this non-coding RNA (205 nucleotides) under Clostridiaceae bacterium. RNAcentral's name for it is "6S RNA". It matches the Rfam family "6S / SsrS RNA". From Rfam's summary of the family: E. coli 6S RNA was the first non coding RNA to be sequenced, but its function was unknown until recently. It consists of 184 nucleotides that fold into an extended hairpin structure with a large single-stranded internal bulge. Lineage: Bacteria; Bacillati; Bacillota; Clostridia; Eubacteriales; Clostridiaceae. The record is from RNAcentral.